RNAcentral lists this unclassified non-coding RNA (337 nucleotides) under soil metagenome. RNAcentral describes it as "partial contains 5.8S ribosomal RNA, internal transcribed spacer 2, and large subunit ribosomal RNA". The stretch from base 1 to 120 matches the Rfam family "5.8S ribosomal RNA", at positions 35 to 154 of the family's 154-position model. The record is from RNAcentral.
GAUGAAGAACGUAGCGAAAUGCGAUAAGUAGUGUGAAUUGCAGAAUUCAGUGAAUCAUCGAAUCUUUGAACGCACAUUGCGCCCCAUGGUAUUCCGUGGGGCAUGCCUGUUCGAGCGUCAUUUACCCCCUCAAGCUCCGCUUGGUGUUGGGCGUCUGUCCCGCUUCGCGCGCGGACUCGCCCCAAAGGUAUUGGCAGCGGCCGUGCCAGCUUCUCGCGCAGCACAUUGCGCUUCUCGAGGCACCGGUGGGCCCGCGUCCAUCAAGCUCACCCCCCCAGUUUGACCUCGGAUCAGGUAGGGAUACCCGCUGAACUUAAGCAUAUCAAUAAGCGGAGGA